GGCUUGCCGGGAGAAGUGGGGGCUCCAGGAGAAAGAGGAGCUGGUGAGCCCGGUGCCAAGGGUGAACCAGGAUCACCAGGACUGUCAGGUUUGCCUGGACUUCCUGGAGAGGACGGAGCUCCAGGACAAAAGGGUGAACCAGGAGCCGUUGGUCUUAGAGGUCCAGAAGGUUUCGCCUGGGAUUGGCACUCAGGGAGAAAAGG
Xiphophorus hellerii (green swordtail) is the source of this 203-nucleotide long non-coding RNA. RefSeq lists it as uncharacterized. NCBI's taxonomy places the organism in Eukaryota, Metazoa, Chordata, Actinopteri, Cyprinodontiformes, Poeciliidae. The record is from RefSeq and is a predicted model, not a curated record. The transcript is spliced from 3 exons.